AGUGUUGCAGUCUUGUGUUUGAAUCUUUACGCGAGCAUGGAUAUUAUUUUUGCUCAAUUGUAUGAGAGAGUUUCGGUGGAGUUGGAAUUUUGAGUUAGUAGGAUAGUGGGGAGGAAUUUGAGGGAUUGCUAGGAUAUUUUUUUAAUUUUAUUUUUUCAAAAUUCCUCUCUUUCCAGGAACACUGAUGUCAAAUUUUCUUUUGUUUUCCUCUGUUCUUUUAUUCAUCACUUUUUUUUGUUACUUCCUCUAUUUUGCUUCGACCCGUCAACGAAUCUUUGUAUUUUGCUGUUCUAUUUUCUUUCGAUUGUUCGGUAAGUGGGGUUCUAACGCUUCUGUAGUUUUUUUUCCAAAUUGCCGGUUGUAGCCUUAUUUUUCUAUUUUGGCAGCGGUGAAUCGUGAAGUGAGAGGCUCUCCUCUUGUGGAUUUGUAGUCGAAAUCAUUC
This 442-nucleotide long non-coding RNA is filed under the name Gossypium raimondii (Peruvian cotton). RNAcentral describes it as "long non-coding RNA (GRAI_LNC003029)". Lineage: Eukaryota; Viridiplantae; Streptophyta; Magnoliopsida; Malvales; Malvaceae. The record is from RNAcentral.